Molecule: ribosomal RNA, 429 nt
Filed under: Bacteroidota bacterium
Lineage: Bacteria; Pseudomonadati; Bacteroidota
Description: Bacteroidetes bacterium partial 16S ribosomal RNA
Rfam family: Bacterial small subunit ribosomal RNA
Source: RNAcentral
UAGGGAAUCUUCGGCAAUGGGGGGAACCCUGACCGAGCAACGCCGCGUGAGUGAAGAAGGUUUUCGGAUCGUAAAGCUCUGUUGUUAAGGAGGAACGAGUGUGAGAAUGGAAAGUUCAUGCUGUGACGGUACUUAACCAGAAAGGGACGGCUAACUACGUGCCAGCAGCCGCGGUAAUACGUAGGUCCCGAGCGUUGUCCGGAUUUAUUGGGCGUAAAGCGAGCGCAGGCGGUUAGAAAAGUCUGAAGUGAAAGGCAGUGGCUCAACCAUUGUAGGCUUUGGAAACUGUUUAACUUGAGUGCAGAAGGGGAGAGUGGAAUUCCAUGUGUAGCGGUGAAAUGCGUAGAUAUAUGGAGGAACACCGGUGGCGAAAGCGGUUCUCUGGUCUGUAACUGACGCUGAGGCUCGAAAGCGUGGGGAGCGAACAGG